Molecule: long non-coding RNA, 102 nt
Organism: Sapajus apella (tufted capuchin)
Lineage: Eukaryota; Metazoa; Chordata; Mammalia; Primates; Cebidae
Exons: 4
Source: RefSeq, a predicted model, not a curated record
AACAUAGACAGAUCUUUUCGCUCUUCUUACCUAGACACAAAUUCACUUAAUUCUGAACAUUCUGUGGGCUCCAUUAUUAUGUUGAGGUCAGUAACAGCAGAA